Hibiscus syriacus is the source of this 139-nucleotide long non-coding RNA. RefSeq lists it as uncharacterized. The record is from RefSeq and is a predicted model, not a curated record. NCBI's taxonomy places the organism in Eukaryota, Viridiplantae, Streptophyta, Magnoliopsida, Malvales, Malvaceae. The transcript is spliced from 3 exons.
GGCUCUUGCAUUACCUCCAACGACGGCAGUACUAGGAGAGCUGAUUGGAUCGCAGAAGGCAUCAGAGAAGUUGGUGCAAACGCAUGCAGUAUUCAUGGGAGUGGGAGCCUUAGCCAUGAUUCGAGGACUGAUUCCACAA